RNAcentral lists this microRNA precursor (105 nucleotides) under Canis lupus familiaris (dog). RNAcentral describes it as "mir-8834 microRNA precursor family". It matches the Rfam family "mir-8834 microRNA precursor family". The record is from Rfam by way of RNAcentral. RNAcentral also lists the same sequence under 1 other name. Lineage: Eukaryota; Metazoa; Chordata; Mammalia; Carnivora; Canidae.
AGGAGAAACAACCCCAGUGGCUGCCGCAGCUCUGGACCCCUGGAUUCAGCUCCCACAGGAACUCCGGGCUCUCUGUCUGCAGGGGCCUGGAGGCUCCAGGGCCGG